This 1458-nucleotide ribosomal RNA is filed under the name uncultured Bordetella sp. RNAcentral's name for it is "partial 16S-23S ribosomal RNA intergenic spacer". It matches the Rfam family "Bacterial small subunit ribosomal RNA". Lineage: Bacteria; Pseudomonadati; Pseudomonadota; Betaproteobacteria; Burkholderiales; Alcaligenaceae. The record is from RNAcentral.
AGAUUAUGGCUCAGAUUGAACAUACGGCGGGAUACUUUACACAUGCAAGUCGAACGGCCAGCACGGACUUCGGUCUGGUGGCGAGUGGCGAACGGGUGAGUAAUGUAUCAAGGAACGUGCCUAGUAGCGGGGAUAACUACGCAGCGUAGCUAAUACCACCUUCGCCCUUCGAGAAGCGGGGGACCUUCGGGCACUCGCACUAUUAGAGCGGCCGAUAUCGGAUUAGCUAGUUGGUGGGGUAACGGCUCGCAAGGCGACGAUCCGUAGCGCUGGUUUGAAGGACGACCAGCCACACUGGGACUGAGACACGGCCCAGACUCCUACGGGAGGCAGCAGUGGGGAAUUUUGGACAAUGGGAAAUACAGUCCAGCCAUCCCGCGUGUGCAUUGAAGGCCUUCGGGUUGUAAGCACUUUUGGCAGGAAAGAAACGGCACGGGGAUAUUACCCCGUGCCUUUGACUGACCUGCAGAAUAAGCACCGGCUAACUACGUGCCAGCAGCCGCGGUAAUACGUAGGAGUGCAAGCGUUAAUCGGAAUUACUGGGCGUAAAGCGUGCGCAGGCGGUUGGAAAGAAAGAUGUGAAAUCCAGAGCUUAACUUUGGAACUGCAUUUUUAACUACCAUUUCAGAGUGUCAGAGGUGGAAUUCCGCGUGUAGCAGUGAAAUGCGUAGAUAUGCGGAGGGGAACACCGAUGGCGAAGGCAGCCUCCUGGGAUAGCUUGCAGCUCAUGCACGAAAGCGUGGGAGCAAACAGGAUUAGAUACCCUGGUAGUCCACGCCCUAAACGAUGUCAACUGGCUAUUUGAGACCGGGCCUUGGUAGCGCAGCUAACGCGUGAAGUUGACCGCCUGCAGAAUUACGGUCACAAGAUUAAAACUCAAAGGAAUUGACGGGGACCCGCACAAGCGGUGGAUGAUGUGGAAUAAUUCGAUGCAACGCGAAAAACCUUGCCUACCCUUGACAUGUCUGGAAUCCGAAGAGAUUUGGGAGUGCUCGCAAGAGAACCGGAACACAGGUGCUGCAUGGCUGUCGUCAGCUCGUGUCGUGAGAUGUUGGGUUAAGUCCCGCAACGAGCGCAACCCUUGUCAUUAGUUGCUACGAAAGGGCACUCUAAUGAGACUGCCGGUGACAAACCGGAGGAAGGUGAGGAUGACGUCAGGGUCCUCAUGGCCCGGGCUUCACACGUCAUACAAUGGUCAGGACAGAGGGUCGCCAACCCCGCGAAGGCCAAUCCAGAAACCCGUCACGUAUGGUGGAUCUGCCAGUCUGCGCUCGACUGCGUGAAGUCAGAAUCGCUAGUAAUCGCGGAUCAGCAUGUCGCGGUGAAUACGUUCCCGGGUCUUGUACACACCGCCCGUCACACCAUGGGAAUUGGGUUUUACCAAGUAGUUAGCCUAACCGUAAGGAGGCGAUUACCACGGUAGGAUUCGCGGCUGGGGGUGAAGUCGUAACAAGGUAG